RNAcentral lists this ribosomal RNA (543 nucleotides) under Triticum aestivum (bread wheat). RNAcentral describes it as "partial small subunit ribosomal RNA". The record is from RNAcentral. Lineage: Eukaryota; Viridiplantae; Streptophyta; Magnoliopsida; Poales; Poaceae.
AUGCGGCCUAUCACAAAGGAGUCUCGCCACUGGUUGUUAAAACCGAUCACCUUCGACCAUCAGGAUUACUCCGGAAGUAUCCGGAACGCAGGUUGGACCGCCUUGGUAUUAGAUCCGAUAAUCGAUAGAUUCCACUUUACACAAGUCCUGAUGGACAGCGGCAGUGGUCUAAACCUUCUAUAUCAGGACACAGUCCGCAAAAUGGGGAUGGACCCAACAAAAAUUCGCCAUAGCAACACUUCCUUUAAAGGAGUAACGCCAGGCCCGGAUGCCCAUUGCACGGGUUCUCUCCUGCUAGAAGUAAUGUUCGGUCCCCCCGAUAACUUGCGCCUCGAAAAGCUAACCUUCCACAUCGCCCCAUUUUCAAGUGGCUAUCAAGCACUACUGGGACGCGAAGCUUUCGCCGGCUUUAACGCAAUACCGCAUUAUGCAUCUCUCACGCUCAAGAUGCCCGGCCCACGAGACAUCAUCUCACUAAAGGGAAACAAUGAAUGUUCCUCGCGCGUAGAAGACUAUACGGCUGCCUUGACAGCCACACAUUAA